GGGUUGUGAGGUUAAGCGACUAAGCGUACACGGUGGAUGCCCUGGCAGUCAGAGGCGAUGAAGGGCGUGCUAAUCUGCGAUAAGCGCCGGUAAGGUGAUAUGAACCGUUAUAACCGGCGAUACCCGAAUGGGGAAACCCAGUGUGAUUCGUCACACUAUCAUUAACUGAAUCCAUAGGUUAAUGAGGCGAACCGGGGGAACUGAAACAUCUAAGUACCCCGAGGAAAAGAAAUCAACCGAGAUUCCCCCAGUAGCGGCGAGCGAACGGGGAGGAGCCCAGAGCCUGAAUCAGCAUGUGUGUUAGUGGAAGCGUCUGGAAAGGCGCGCGAUACAGGGUGACAGCCCCGUACACAAAAGCGCAUGUGCUGUGAGCUCGAUGAGUAGGGCGGGACACGUGGUAUCCUGUCUGAAUAUGGGGGGACCAUCCUCCAAGGCUAAAUACUCCUGACUGACCGAUAGUGAACCAGUACCGUGAGGGAAAGGCGAAAAGAACCCCGGCGAGGGGAGUGAAAAAGAACCUGAAACCGUGUACGUACAAGCAGUGGGAGCACAGGUUUACCUGUGUGACUGCGUACCUUUUGUAUAAUGGGUCAGCGACUUAUAUUCUGUAGCAAGGUUAACCGAAUAGGGGAGCCGGAGGGAAACCGAGUCUUAAUUGGGCGUUAAGUUGCAGGGUAUAGACCCGAAACCCGGUGAUCUAGCCAUGGGCAGGUUGAAGGUUGGGUAACACUAACUGGAGGACCGAACCGACUAAUGUUGAAAAAUUAGCGGAUGACCUGUGGCUGGGGGUGAAAGGCCAAUCAAACCGGGAGAUAGCUGGUUCUCCCCGAAAGCUAUUUAGGUAGCGCCUCGUGAAUUCAUCUCCGGGGGUAGAGCACUGUUUCGGCUAGGGGGCCAUCCCGGCUUACCAACCCGAUGCAAACUGCGAAUACCGGAGAAUGUUAUCACGGGAGACACACGGCGGGUGCUAACGUCCGUCGUGAAGAGGGAAACAACCCAGACCGCCAGCUAAGGUCCCAAAGUCAUGGUUAAGUGGGAAACGAUGUGGGAAGGCCCAGACAGCCAGGAUGUUGGCUUAGAAGCAGCCAUCAUUUAAAGAAAGCGUAAUAGCUCACUGGUCGAGUCGGCCUGCGCGGAAGAUGUAACGGGGCUAAACCAUGCACCGAAGCUGCGGCAGCGAACGUAUCACUUAAAGCGAUUCAGCGGGUUACGAUUGACGGAGCGAAGCGACGUCAAAGCGUAUACAAAGUCGAGUCGGUUUAAGGAUACGUUCGUUGGGUAGGGGAGCGUUCUGUAAGCCUGUGAAGGUGGCCUGUGAGGGUUGCUGGAGGUAUCAGAAGUGCGAAUGCUGACAUAAGUAACGAUAAAGCGGGUGAAAAGCCCGCUCGCCGGAAGACCAAGGGUUCCUGUCCAACGUUAAUCGGGGCAGGGUGAGUCGACCCCUAAGGCGAGGCCGAAAGGCGUAGUCGAUGGGAAACGGGUUAAUAUUCCCGUACUUGGUGUUACUGCGAAGGGGGGACGGAGAAGGCUAUGUUGGCCGGGCGACGGUUGUCCCGGUUUAAGCGUGUAGGUGUGUGUUCCAGGUAAAUCCGGUUCACUUUAACACUGAGGCGUGACGACGAGGCACUACGGUGCUGAAGCAACAAAUGCCCUGCUUCCAGGAAAAGCCUCUAAGCAUCAGGUAACAUCAAAUCGUACCCCAAACCGACACAGGUGGUCAGGUAGAGAAUACCAAGGCGCUUGAGAGAACUCGGGUGAAGGAACUAGGCAAAAUGGUGCCGUAACUUCGGGAGAAGGCACGCUGACAC
Molecule: ribosomal RNA, 1808 nt
Filed under: Salmonella enterica subsp. enterica serovar Newport
Lineage: Bacteria; Pseudomonadati; Pseudomonadota; Gammaproteobacteria; Enterobacterales; Enterobacteriaceae
Description: partial 23S ribosomal RNA
Rfam family: Bacterial large subunit ribosomal RNA
Source: RNAcentral